RNAcentral lists this ribosomal RNA (484 nucleotides) under uncultured bacterium. RNAcentral describes it as "partial 16S ribosomal RNA". It matches the Rfam family "Bacterial small subunit ribosomal RNA", at positions 28 to 523 of the family's 1533-position model. The record is from RNAcentral.
GAUGAACGCUGGCGGCGUGCUUAACACAUGCAAGUCGAACGGUGAAGCAGGAGCUUGCUCUUGAGGAUCAGUGGCGAACGGGUGAGUAACACGUGAGCAACCUGCCCCUGACUCUGGGAUAAGCGCUGGAAGCGGCGUCUAAUACUGGAUAUGUGAUGUGACCGCAUGGUCUGCAUCUGGAAAGAAUUUCGGUUGGGGAUGGGCUCGCGGCCUAUCAGCUUGUUGGUGAGGUAAUGGCUCACCAAGGCGUCGACGGGUAGCCGGCCUGAGAGGGUGACCGGCCACACUGGGACUGAGACACGGCCCAGACUCCUACGGGAGGCAGCAGUGGGGAAUAUUGCACAAUGGGCGGAAGCCUGAUGCAGCAACGCCGCGUGAGGGAUGACGGCCUUCGGGUUGUAAACCUCUUUUAGCAGGGAAGAAGCGAAAGUGACGGUACCUGUAGAAAAAGCACCGGCUAACUACGUGCCAGCCGCCGCCGUAA